Molecule: transfer RNA, 72 nt
Filed under: Anaerobacterium chartisolvens
Lineage: Bacteria; Bacillati; Bacillota; Clostridia; Eubacteriales; Oscillospiraceae
Rfam family: tRNA
About the family: Transfer RNA (tRNA) molecules are approximately 80 nucleotides in length. Their secondary structure includes four short double-helical elements and three loops (D, anti-codon, and T loops).
Source: Rfam by way of RNAcentral
GGUGCCAUAGCCAAGUGGUAAGGCAGAGGUCUGCAAAACCUCUAUUCCCCAGUUCAAAUCUGGGUGGCACCU